This is an unclassified non-coding RNA of Pongo abelii (Sumatran orangutan), 148 nucleotides long. It matches the Rfam family "Metazoan signal recognition particle RNA". Rfam says of the family: The signal recognition particle (SRP) is a universally conserved ribonucleoprotein. Lineage: Eukaryota; Metazoa; Chordata; Mammalia; Primates; Hominidae. The record is from Ensembl.
GCUAGGCAUGGUGGUGCAUGCCUGUAAUCCCAGCUGCCCGGGAGGCUGAGGCAGGAGAAUCGCUUGAGCCCGGGAGGCAGAGGUUGCAGUGAACCAAGAUCAUGGCACUGCACUCCAGCCUGGGAGACAGAGCGAGACUCUGUCUCAA